CCUACGGGUGGCAGCAGUGAGGAAUAUUGGUCAAUGGGCGGGAGCCUGAACCAGCCAAGUCGCGUGAGGGAAGACUGUCCUACGGAUUGUAAACCUCUUUUGCCGGGGAGCAACGGGGUCCUUGCGAGGGCCCAAUGAGAGUACCCGGAGAAAAAGCAUCGGCUAACUCCGUGCCAGCAGCCGCGGUAAUACGGGGGAUGCGAGCGUUAUCCGGAUUUAUUGGGUUUAAAGGGUGCGUAGGCGGGCUGUUAAGUCAGCGGUCAACUGUCGGGGACCAACCCCGGCCUGCCGUUGAAACUGGCGGCGUCGAGUGGGCGAGAAGUAUGCGGAAUGCGUGGUGUAGCGGUGAAAUGCAUAGAUAUCACGCAGAACUCCGAUUGCGAAGGCAGCAUACCGGCGCCCUACUGACGCUGAGGCACGAAAGCGUGGGUAUCGAACAGGAUUAGAUACCCUUGUAGUC
This 460-nucleotide ribosomal RNA is filed under the name uncultured bacterium. RNAcentral's name for it is "partial 16S ribosomal RNA". It matches the Rfam family "Bacterial small subunit ribosomal RNA", at positions 338 to 795 of the family's 1533-position model. The record is from RNAcentral.